GACGAACGCUGGCGGCGUGCUUAACACAUGCAAGUCGAACGGAAAGGCCCUGCUUUUGUGGGGUGCUCGAGUGGCGAACGGGUGAGUAACACGUGAGUAACCUGCCCUUGACUUUGGGAUAACUUCAGGAAACUGGGGCUAAUACCGGAUAGGAGCUCCUGCUGCAUGGUGGGGGUUGGAAAGUUUCGGCGGUUGGGGAUGGACUCGCGGCUUAUCAGCUUGUUGGUGGGGUAGUGGCUUACCAAGGCUUUGACGGGUAGCCGGCCUGAGAGGGUGACCGGCCACGGGGGGACUGAGACACGCCCCGGACCAGCGGGGGGGGCAGGGGGGGGGAUUGUGGAACGGGGGGCGGCGGUCAGAAGCGGCCCCGCGGGGGGGGGGAGGGCGGCCGGGGGGUUGAACCCCGUUUCCCCGGUUAACGAGGGGGGGGGGGGGGUAGUGGAAAAAAAACCACCGUCAAACCAC
RNAcentral lists this ribosomal RNA (465 nucleotides) under uncultured bacterium. RNAcentral describes it as "partial 16S ribosomal RNA". The stretch from base 20 to 329 matches the Rfam family "Bacterial small subunit ribosomal RNA", at positions 47 to 358 of the family's 1533-position model. The record is from RNAcentral.